CCGAACCGUCGACAUGAGCUGUUGCUGGCCCUCGAAAGGGGGCACGUGCACGCUCUGUUUACACAUCCACUCACACCUGUGCACCCUCUGUAGUUCUGUGGCCUUGGGGACCUCGUCCCCUUGCCGUGGUCCUACGUCUUUACACACACACCGUAACAAAGUCUCAUGGAAUGUAUGCCGCGUUUAACGCAAUACAAUA
This 199-nucleotide unclassified non-coding RNA is filed under the name uncultured Tomentella. Its description in RNAcentral is "sequence contains ITS1". The record is from RNAcentral. Lineage: Eukaryota; Fungi; Basidiomycota; Agaricomycetes; Thelephorales; Thelephoraceae.